RNAcentral lists this ribosomal RNA (1627 nucleotides) under marine metagenome. RNAcentral's name for it is "bacterial LSU rRNA". It matches the Rfam family "Bacterial large subunit ribosomal RNA", at positions 1189 to 2925 of the family's 2925-position model. The record is from RNAcentral.
UGGUAGCGGAGCGUAGUGUGACAUAGAUUCUAUCCUCUUUAGUCGUCUUUGACGGCCUUGGAGGAUUGAGAAUCUUUCUGUGAAGCCGGGCUGUAAGGCAUCCGGUGGAGAGAUCACUAGUGAGAAUGAUGACAUGAGUAGCGACAAAGAGUGUGAGAGACACUCUCGCCGAAAGUCCAAGGGUUCCUGCUUAAAGCUAAUCUGAGCAGGGUAAGCCGACCCCUAAGUCGAGGCCGAAAGGCGUAGACGAUGGGAACCAGGUUAAUAUUCCUGGGCCAGGAAGAUGUGACGGAUCGUGAAGGUUGUUCACCCUUAUUGGAUUGGGUGGGCCGCUAAUCGGUUCCUGGAAAUAGCCUUCCAUCAGAUCGUACCCUAAACCGACACAGGUGGACUGGUAGAGAAUACCAAGGCGCUUGAGAGAACUAUGUUGAAGGAACUCGGCAAAAUACCUCCGUAAGUUCGCGAGAAGGAGGCCCAGUUUCUACGCAAGUAUUGACUGGGGGCACAAACCAGGGGGUGGCGACUGUUUACUAAAAACACAGGGCUCUGCGAAGUCGCAAGACGACGUAUAGGGUCUGACGCCUGCCCGGUGCCUGAAGGUUAAAAGGAGAUGUGAGAGCGUCGAAUUGAAGCCCAGGUAAACGGCGGCCGUAACUAUAACGGUCCUAAGGUAGCGAAAUUCCUUGUCGGGUAAGUUCCGACCUGCACGAAUGGCGUAACGACUUCCCCACUGUCUCCAACAUAGACUCAGCGAAAUUGAAUUGCCUGUCAAGAUGCAUGCUUCCCGCGGUUAGACAGAAAGACCCCGUGCACCUUUACUACAACUUCGCACUGGCAUCACGCACAGCAUGUGCAGGAUAGGUGGUGGGCUUUGAAGCAGUAACGCCAGUUAUUGUGGAGCCUCCCUUGAGAUACCACCCUUGUUCUGCUUGAUGUCUAACUGCGGUCCAUUAUCUGGAUCCAGGACCCUGCGUGGUGGGUAGUUUGACUGGGGCGGUCGCCUCCUAAAGAGUAACGGAGGCGCGCGAAGGUUGGCUCAGAGCGGUCGGACAUCGCUCGUUGAGUGCAAUGGCAGAAGCCAGCCUGACUGCGAGACUGACAAGUCGAGCAGAGUCGAAAGACGGCCAUAGUGAUCCGGUGGUCCCGCGUGGAAGGGCCAUCGCUCAACGGAUAAAAGGUACGCCGGGGAUAACAGGCUGAUACUGCCCAAGAGUCCAUAUCGACGGCAGUGUUUGGCACCUCGAUGUCGGCUCAUCUCAUCCUGGGGCUGGAGCAGGUCCCAAGGGUACGGCUGUUCGCCGUUUAAAGAGGUACGUGAGCUGGGUUUAGAACGUCGUGAGACAGUUCGGUCCCUAUCUGCCGUGGGUGUAGGAUACUUGAGAGGAGUUGCCCCUAGUACGAGAGGACCGGGGUGAACGAUCCACUGGUGGACCUGUUGUUGCGCCAGCAGCAGUGCAGGGUAGCUAUGAUCGGACAGGAUAACCGCUGAAGGCAUCUAAGCGGGAAGCCCCCCUCAAAACAAGGUAUCCCUGAGAGCCGUGGAAGACCACCACGUCGAUAGGCCGGAGAUGUAAGCAUGGUAACAUGUUCAGUUGACCGGUACUAAUGGCUCGAUAGGCUUGGUUUG